UAUUAAAAAUUCAUUCAUUUUUAUUAUUAAAAACUAACGAGACUGACAAAAUAACUCAAUAGUUACACGUACUGUGUCAUGUGUACCUCAUUCUAAUCCAUGGGAAUUAGUUUUUAACCGUAUAAAUAGAUAAAAUUUUUAACA
This 144-nucleotide microRNA precursor is filed under the name Gossypium raimondii (Peruvian cotton). RNAcentral describes it as "MIR7502 microRNA precursor family". It matches the Rfam family "MIR7502 microRNA precursor family". The record is from Rfam by way of RNAcentral. Lineage: Eukaryota; Viridiplantae; Streptophyta; Magnoliopsida; Malvales; Malvaceae.